AACGAACGCUGGCGGCGCGUCUGAUUCAUGCAAGUCGAGCGAGAAAUCCCGCUUCGGCGGGGGAGUAAAGCGGCGGACUGCUGAGUAAUACACAGGUAACCUGCCCGUGAGACCGGGACAACUCUGCGAAAGCGGAGCUAAUACCGGAUAUUAUGACCAACCGUAUGGUUCGGUUAUGAAAUGGUUGGUUCCCUUCGGGGACUUCUGCUCACGGAUGGGCCUGUGGCCUAUUAGCCAGUUGGUGAGGUAACGGCUCACCAAGGCAAUGAUGGGUAGCCGGCCUGAGAGGGUGAUCGGCCGGACUGGGACUGAGACACUGCCCAGACUCCUACGGGAGGCAGCAGAGGAGAAUCAUCCGCAAUGGGCGCAAGCCUGACGGUGCGACGCCGCGUGGGCGAUGAAGGCCUUCGGGUCGUAAAGCCCUGUCAGAGGCGUGGAAAAGGUGGUGGAUGAAAGUCCACCUUCUUGACCUACCUCAAAGGAAGGCCCGGCUAACUUCGUGCCAGCAGCAGCGGUAAUACGGAGGGGUCAAGCGUUGUUCGGAAUUACUGGGCUUAAAGGGCGUCUAGGCGGAUCUGCAAGUCGGGUAUGAAAGCCCCCGGCUCAACUGGGGAACUGUGCCCGAAACUGCAGGUCUUGAGUGCGGGAGAGGAGAGCGGAACUCCCGGUGUAGCGGUGAAAUGCGUUGAUAUCGGGAUGAACGCCGGAGGCGAAAGCGGCUCUCUGGCCUGCUACUGACGCUGAAGCGCGAAAGCUAGGGGAGCAAACGGGAUUAGAUACCCCGGUAGUCCUAGCCGUAAACGAUGGGCACUAGGUGGGGAAGGUUCCGAUAUCUUUCCUGCCGUAGGGAAACCGAUAAGUGCCCCGCCUGGGGAGUACGGCCGCAAGGCUAAAACUCAAAGGAAUUGACGGGGGCCCGCACAAGCGGUGGAGCACGUGGCUCAAUUCGAAGCAAACCGAAGAACCUUAUCCUGGGCUUGACAUGCUGGUGGUACAAUCCUGAAAGGGGGAGGACUCCGUUCUGCGGAGAGCCAGCACAGGUGCUGCAUGGCUGUCGUCAGCUCGUGUGGUGAGAUGUUGGGUUAAGUCCCGUAACGAGCGAAACCCCUGCCCUUAGUUGCCAGCGGGUAAUGCCGGGGACUCUAGGGGGACUGCCGGUGUUAAACCGGAGGAAGGUGGGGAUGACGUCAAGUCAUCAUGGCCCUUAUGCCCAGGGCUGCACACGUGCUACAAUGGCCGGUACAAAGGGACGCCAAACCGCGAGGUGGAGCAAAUCCCAAAAAGCCGGCCCCAGUUCGGAUCGGAGGCUGCAACUCGCCUCCGUGAAGCCGGAAUCGCUAGUAAUCGCGGGUCAGCUAAACCGCGGUGAAUAUGUUCCCGGGCCUUGUACACACCGCCCGUCAAGCC
Molecule: ribosomal RNA, 1407 nt
Filed under: uncultured bacterium
Lineage: Bacteria
Description: 16S ribosomal RNA
Rfam family: Bacterial small subunit ribosomal RNA
Source: RNAcentral